This 253-nucleotide ribosomal RNA is filed under the name uncultured bacterium. RNAcentral describes it as "partial 16S ribosomal RNA". It matches the Rfam family "Bacterial small subunit ribosomal RNA", at positions 524 to 776 of the family's 1533-position model. The record is from RNAcentral.
UACGUAAGGGGCGAGCGUUGUCCGGAUUUAUUGGGCGUAAAGAGCGUGUAGGCGGCCGAGCAGGUCCGUUGUGAAAACUGAAGGCUCAACCUUCAGAGGUCGAUGGAAACCGUUCGGCUAGAGUCCGGAAGAGGAGAGUGGAAUUCCUGGUGUAGCGGUGAAAUGCGCAGAUAUCAGGAAGAACACCCGUGGCGAAAGAGGCUCUCGGGGACGGUACUGACGCUGAGACGCGAAAGCUUGGGGAGCGAACAGG